This 301-nucleotide ribosomal RNA is filed under the name uncultured bacterium. RNAcentral's name for it is "partial 16S ribosomal RNA". It matches the Rfam family "Bacterial small subunit ribosomal RNA", at positions 509 to 809 of the family's 1533-position model. The record is from RNAcentral.
CAGCAGCCACGGUAAUACGAAGGGUGCAAGCGUUACUCGGAAUUACUGGGCGUAAAGCGUGUGUAGGUGGCUGUUUAAGUCUGUCGUGAAAGCCCUGGGCUCAACCUGGGAAUGGCAGUGGAUACUGGCUCGCUAGAGUGUGUCAGAGGAUGGUGGAAUUCCCGGUGUAGCGGUGAAAUGCGUAGAGAUCGGGAGGAACAUCAGUGGCGAAGGCGGCCAUCUGGGACAACACUGACGCUGAGGCACGAAAGCGUGGGGAGCAAACAGGAUUAGAUACCCCAGUAGUCCCUGUCUCUUAUAA